Molecule: long non-coding RNA, 11068 nt
Filed under: Homo sapiens (human)
Lineage: Eukaryota; Metazoa; Chordata; Mammalia; Primates; Hominidae
Description: HSALNT0370561
Source: RNAcentral
GUGCAGCCCUGACCCAAGACGUCGGCCCCCAGAUGGGGACAGUUCAGUGUCCUGGGAGCAGCCCCCGGCUGAUAGUGUUCCAUCCUGGGACUGGAGGCGCCAGCAGGGCUUUCCAGCAGGGCAGGUAAUGGAGAAGAGGGGCUGGGGGCUGGGGUUGGAGGGCAGCUGGCAGCCACGCACUCAGUUCUCACUGCUGCACCUUUGCACAGGCCGCUCCUCCCUCCUGAACCUCCUCUUCCCUUUGCUCAGCUGCCUCCUACUCUCCCUUGACUGGAAAAUCACUUCUUAGAGAAACCUGCUCAUUGUCCCUCUGAAGGAGGCCCCCCAGCAUCCUUCUCUCAUGGCACCCUGCACUGUCCCUGCACACACAUUACACAGGCGCCACUGGCUGUCAUUUUAAGUCUGGAUGUGUGGGGAUGACUCCCAUGGGGACCUGGAUGUGGAUCCUUGGCUUACCAACCAGUGCCUGGCACUGGGCAGCAUUAAGCAAAACUUGGUGGAAUGAAUGGUUUAUGUGUUUCCUGCAAACAAGGCACUCUGCGGUGGCUCAACACUCAUCUCUUGGGUCUUCCUAACACCUCUGUGAAGGAAUGGACACGUUAUCCCUGUUUUCUGAUGAGGAAGCAGAUGCAGAGAUGUGGGAAUUGGGAAGGAGAAUCCUGGCUGGGGUGAUUUUCUAGCCUGUGCUUCCAGAUUAAAGGGAGAAGUUUGACCUGUCACUCCUAAGGGACUGGGUUUUUCUUUUUUCUUUUCCUUUUUUUUUUUUGAGACAAGAGUCUCACUGUGUUGCCCAGGCUGGAGUGCAGUGGUACGAUCUCAGUCACUGCAACCUCUGCCUCCUGGAUUCAAGUGAUUCUCCUGCCUCAGCCUCCCAAGUAGCUGAGACUAUAGGCACCCACCACCAUGGCCGGCUAAUUUUUGUAUUUUUAGUAGAGACAGGGUUUCACCAUGUUAACCAGGCUGGUCUUGAACUCCCGACCUCAGGUGAUCCACCCGCCUCAGCCUCUCAAAGUGCUAGGGUUACAGGCGUGAGCCACCAUGCCUGGCCAGGGCCUGGGUUUCUUGGAAGCACUGGAAUCUCAUCUUGAGGGGCCAACGGCUUCUGCUCCAGAAGCCAGGACUCUCAGGCAAGAUGCAAUCAAAGUAAAAACAGCAAUCAACUCAGAAAAUACAAACGUUGACUGCACCCCUUCCCAGCCACCAUCCCGCCUCGUUUUGAAAACUGCUUUACUGAGUUGGUUGGGUGGGCGAGGGGAGAGUUAUGAAUACACUAUUCUUCUAAGUAGAUCACCUACCUAACCAGAGAGAAGAGAGACUGAAGAAUGGGGACUGCUUUUAAGACACCAGGAAGUUAAAAAUCUGGGCUUCUCUGGGCAGGAACAAGGACGAGUUGGUUUUUCAUCUCCCCCCAGAAAUGAGGCCGCCCCAGCUGGGUGGCAAGGCAGGGUGGGGCAGCUUGCCCCUGAUUCAGGGCUCCACAGCGAGGGCAGGGAGGCCUAGGGAAUUGGAGAGGAAGCAGAAUGCAGAGAAAUGAGGCUAAAUCCAAAACUCAGAUUUCUAAAUUCAAAGGUUUCCCAGGGAAAAUGGGGUUUGAAAUGACUGAGUCUUGGGAACCAGAAUGAACUAGAUCCGGCUGUUGAAGAGCCCUGGGGGCACAUUUUAAACCGGGGAUGGGCACCAUUUCCAAUCCACACGGCGGCCAAUCUGAGCAGGCCGGCAGAGCGAAUGAACGUGUGGGCACGUGCAGGGUCUGCUACGGAGGAGGUGGGUGGGGGGAAGGAGGGGGGCCCGGUUUGCCAUCUGCCCUGGCAGGGAAGGAGGGAUUGGCCUUGAGCUGGCUGGGCUGGCUUCCCUUCCUUAAAGAUGAUUGGGACUGGAGGCUGCCUGGUCCGAGGGAACCUGUCAGUGACCUCUGGGUGGUCCUGGGAUCCACCUGGCUGUGAUGAUCAAGCUGGUUGGACCACAGUGAGGGAGAAAGACAAAGAGCACAGACCCUUUUGGCAGGAGGGAAUUAAUUCACUGGCCCACUCACACCCGGGGCGUGGGGAGCGCCAUCUGGGUCCCUUGGCAGCACAAAUACCCCUGAAGUCGGAAGACAACCAUGGGUGAGGCUGAGCUCACCUGCUGGCCAGAACUUUCCUGGUUUUGGCAAUGACAAGUCUCUGAAUGCUCCGUUUCUCAAGGGGACAGUCUAGGGACUACCUGCACGCUAGCAAACACUUAGUGGGUGCCUCUCGCUUGUGGACGCUACUGUGAAUAAGGCAUGGUUUCUGUCUUCAAAUUGCUGGCAGCAGGGUGACAGAGCACACAGACUCUACAGUGCAGUGAGGGAAGUACCCUACGGCAGUGACAAGCCCUACAGAGGACCAGAGGGAGAGCACCUGUCUUGGGUGGUCAGUGGACUGCUCAGAGGGAGUGAUGUCUAGACCUCAAGGAUGAGCAGCCCAAAACCAUGCCUUCUGAUAGACCCCUCCCUUGCUGACUUGAAGCUCCACCAUGAGACUUGCUUUGACCAAUGGGGCAAGUAGCAAACUUGGCACAAGAGGCUUUGAAUAAACUCUUCCUCUCUGGCUCCUCUGCCUCACCCAUGAAAAGAUGCCUAGCCUGGCCAUUUGGAGGAUGAGAGAGCACUGAGUCAGUUCAGCCUGAAGCCAGGCCAGACAAGGAGACAGCUCUGAGAUACAGAAGAGUCCAGCCAAGAUCUGCAAAGCCACCUCAUUAACCUGCAGCUGAGGGCAGAGGCGUGAAUGAGCAACCUGGACAAAGACUGCCCACCUCACCUACAGACUCCUGAGCUAAAUAAGCAUGUAAUGUUUUAAGCCACUGAGUCUUGUGAUUGUUCAUUAAGCAGCAACAGAUAACUAAUACAAGAUGGAACUGGCAGAGCUUGUGUAUGUAACAGGUAUUUAAGUCUACGACUUUUCCUCUAGGCAUAGCUUUAGCUGUCAUCAGAACCAUGAAUGUUUCUAUUACUGCUGUUUUUAGUAGAUAUUAUGCAAUUUCAGUGUAUUUUUUGACUCAAGUUCUUUGAGAGUUUUAAUUUAUAAGAGCUUUUCUUUCCCCUGUUUUGAUACAAAUUUCUACUUUUAUUGCAUGUAGUCAAAGGAUGUAAUCAAUAUUAUUUCCUCUUUCUGGAAUGUAUUGAGGUUUUCUUUGGUAGCCUUAUAGAUGGUGCUCUUUUAUACAUGUUCCCAUGAUUGUUUGAAAGGAGGUACAUUACAUUCUAUGUUUACAGCAAAGAAUCUGAUUCCUGAAGGCAGAAAAUAUACAUGUACACUUCACAAUGGUGGAUCCCAAACUGGGAUACAGACAAAUGGCAGGGGUGGGUUAUAUUUGCAUUCUCACACUGAUAUAAAGAAAUACCUGAGACUGGGUAAUUCAUAAAGAAAAGAGGUUUUAAUUGGUUCAUGGUUCCAUGGGCUAUACAGGAAGCAUAGCAGCUUCUGCUCCUGGGGAGGCCUCAAGAAACUUACAAUCAUGGCAGAAGGUGAAGGGGAGGCAGGCACAUCUUACGUGGCCAGAGCAGGAGGAAGAGAGAGAGGGGGAAGGUGUUACAUGCUUUUUUCUCUUUCUUUUUUUUUUUUUCUGAGAUGGAGUCUCACUCGGUCGCCCAGGUCAGAGGGCAGUGGUGUGAUCUUGGCUCACUGCAACCUCCUCCUCCCGGGUUCAAGCAAUUCUCCUGCCUCAGCCUCCCGAGAAGCUGGGACUACAGGCAUGAGCCACCACGCCCAGUUAAUUUUUGUAUUUUUAGUAGAGACGGGGUUUCACCUUGUUGGCCAGGAUGGUCUUGAUCUCUUGACCUCGUGAUCUGCCCACCUCGGCCUCCAAAAGUGCUGGGAUUACAGGCAAGAGCCACCACGCACUUUUAAACAACCAGAUCUCAUGAGAACUCACUCAGUAUCAUGAGAACGGCACCCAGGGAGACGGUGUUAAAGCAUUCAUGAGAAACCGCUCCCAUGAUUCAAUCACCUCCUACCAGGCCCCACACUGGGGAUUAUUAUUUGACAUGAGACUUGGGGGACACAAAUCCAAACCAUAUCAUGGGGGUAGGGGAGAAGGUGCCUGGUUCAAUACAGAGUCUUAAGACUCCACCUCAUUAGUAUUAAUUCAUUUGGUACAAGGAGGGCCUGGUAAUUGGGAUUUUACCCCCUUCCAUCCCAACCAUAGCCAGGUUCCUAUGAACCAAAGAAAGUCACUGACUGUUCUUUGAAUAACAUUAUGCUUUAUCUUUGAUUGUUUAUUGCUUUCGUAGACAGAGAAAGGGCCCUUAAAGUCUCUUGACUCCUCCCACUAAUAGCCUUGUGAAUUUGGGCAAGGCAUGCCAUCUCUCUGCACCGGUUUCACUUGUCAAAUGGGGACAACAACCCCAUCAAUUCUGGCUGUCGUGAGAACUCCCUGGCUUAUAGUGCCUGGCCCAGAGUAAGGCUCAGUAAUUGUGACCACUGCUGCUAUGAUGGCCUUGGAUUCCCGUGUUUGUUCGUUAGGUUCCGAUGCCGGAACUGGCUUUCAGGCCUCUGCUUAAAAGACAAUGACCUUCUGUCUCUUGCAAUGAGUUAGCAUUUACAGUUGAAAUGGGGCUCAGCACCCACCCACGUAGUCAGUCUUCAGCAAACCAGACAUGUUUCUAGAUUUUAUAUACAUAUGAUGUAAGCUCACUCAUUAAGCAAAUAUUCUUUAGCUCAGACUAUGUGUCCUGUGCUGUGCGGCUGCAAGUCAUGGUCCCGCCUGAAGGUAGCCUUGCCCUCAGCUGAACCCUGUCCCCGAGAUGCCUUCUCUACCUAUUCCCAUUCCCUGCAACUCACUCCAGGCCCCCUGGAGUGGUACCUGCCCCACUCUCAGGAACAUGCUUUGAAGUUAUGCUUUCAUAGUUCCAGAGUCCACAAGUCUGAAAUCCAGGUGUGAGCACGGCUAUGCUCCCCUGGAGGCUCUAGAGGAUACUUCCUCGGCCCUUCCAGCUUCUGGUGGCUCCUGGCGUUCCUGGCCUUGGCUGCCUCGCUCUGGCCUCUGCCUUCUCUACCCAUCAUCAGAACCUACCCACUCUGCUACAACCACGGCUUCAAAGUCAGCCAGGGAGAGAACAGGUCGGGCUUCGUGGGGUGAGGGUGUUGUUUCUGCAGAGGUGGUGGAGGGCCGGCCACAAGGUUAUCUAUAAAAGUAACCAGAAGGUCCGCUAGAGGAAUGCUUUUCCUGGGAGUGUGGGCUGCGGGGGCGUGUCCCUGAGUGUCAGGGUGUGGAGGGAGAGGAGGUGGCAGCUUCACAGGCAGCUGGGCAUGGCUGCUCUCCUGCUCUUGGACCUUCAGGGGCUCUCUGCUGCCCUCAGGGUAAGUCCACCUCUCAGGGUAACCCCUACUCACCUCCUGGGACACAGUUUAGAAGCCACGUCUUUUGGGAAGCCCUCCCCACCCUUCCUUUGGACACCUGCCCCACUUCUCCUUUGGCACCAUGACCACCUGUUACUUAGCCAUCUCCCAACAGACUGUGAACUUUCACAGCAGCAGUGAGCCUACUGUGUUGUAUGUUUGUUUGUUUUUGAGGCAGAGUCUCGCUCUGUCGCCCAGGCUGGAGUGCAGUGGUGCCAUCUCAGCUCAUUGCAACCUCCACCUCCCGGGCUCAAGUGAUUCUCGUGCCUCCUGAGUAGCUGGGACUACAGGCGCCCGCCUCAUACAAAAAAUGCCCAGCUCAUUUUUUGUAUUUUUAGUAGAGACGGGGUUUUGCCAUGUUGGCUAGACUGGUCUUGAACUCCUGACCUCAAGUGAUCCACCCGCCUCAACCUCCCAAACUGCUGGGAUUACAGGCGUGAGCCACAGCACCCAGCUAAGUUAUGUAUUUUAGUAGAGAUGGGGUUUCACCAUGUUGGCCAAGCUGGUCUCAAACUCCUGACCUCAAGUGAUCUGCCCGCCUCAGCCUCUCAAAGUGCUGGGAUUAUAGGCAUGAGUCACCGGGCCUGGCUGAUCCUGUUGUGUUGAUUGCUGGAUCCCUGGCCGCCAGUUCAGGGCUGGCCAAUAGGAGGUGCUCAUUAAAUGCUUGUAGAGCAAGGAAAGGGGACUCAGAUGGUCUGCAGAGGGUUGAAUGGUGACCUCCCCCAAAAUAUACGUCCACCUGGAACCUGUAAAUAUGACCUUAUUUGGGAAAAAAGGGUCUUUGUACAUAUAACUAACGAUCUUGAGAUGAGAUUAUAGGUGCCAACUGUCCUCAGAAAAGAAAGGCAGGCUGGGCGUGGUGGCUCAGGCCUGUAAUCCCAACACUUUGGGAAGCUGAGGCGGGUGGAUCACCUGAGGCCAGGAGUUCAAGAUCAGCCUGGCCAAUGGUGAAACCUUGUCUCUACUAAAAAUACAAAAAUUAGUUGGGCGUGGUGGCGGGCACCUGUAAUCUCAGCUACUCGGGAGGCAGAGGUUUCAGCGAGCCGAGAUCGUGCCAUUGCACUCCAGCGUGGGUGAGGGAGCAAGACUGUCUCAAAAAUAAGUUGAGCAAGGAUCCUCCCCUAGAGCCUUCGGAGGGAGCACGGCCCUGCCCACACCUGGAUUUCAGACCUGUGGACUCCGGAACUGUGAGAGCACAACUUUCUGUUGCUUUAAGCCCCCCAGUUUGAGGUAUUUUGUUACAGCAAUCACAGGAAUUAACAUACUGCCCUAUCAGAGAAAGCCUUUCUGAAGAUCUGCGGAAAAGAAGGACGUUAGGGAAAAGCCAGCCUCUGUGUAGGUAACACUCCGAGGGUGCACUUGGUCAGACACGAGUGAAUCUACACAUGGGGCAAACUUGAUGCCUUAUUCCCCCAGCCCCCAAAAUUGGCAUUUUGUCUUAAUGUGUAAGCAACAAGAUCCACAUGUUACUUUGGAGUUUUUCACUGACAACCAGCACUAGUGUCUAACACAGUGGGUUAAGAAAAGUGGGUUAACUUUUCUUGGUUUAAGAAUGUGAUGAGGCCAGGCAUAGUGGCUCACACCUGUAAUGCCAGAACUUUGGGAAGCCACGGCAGGAGGACUGCUUGAGCCCAGGAGUUUGAGGCCAGCCUGGGCAACAUAGGGAGACCCCUUCCCUAAAAAAAAUUAAAAAAUUAGCCGAGCAUGGUGGUGCAUGCCUGUAGUCCCAGCUACUCAGAAGGCUGAGGCAAGAGGAUGACUUGAGCCUGGGAGGUUGAGGCUGCAGUAAGCCAUGAUCACACUACUGCACUCCGGCCUGGGUGACACAGCAAGACCCUGUCUCAAAAAAAAAAAAAAAAGAAAAAAGAAAAAAAAAAACCCCAAAAAUCUGAUGAACACAUUAGAUUCAUGAGUCUUUUUCUUUUUUCUUUAAAAUACUUUAAGUUCUGGGAUACAUAUGCAGAAAGUGCAGGUUUGUCACAUAGGCAUACAUGUGCCAUGGUGGUUUGCUGCACCCAUCAACCCACCAUCUACAUUAGGUAUUUCUCCUAAUGCUAUCCCUCCCUUAGCCCUCCACCCCCAACAGGUCCCGGUGUGUGAUGUUCCCUUCCCUGUGUCCAUGUGUCCUCAUUGGUCAACUCCCACUUAUGAGUGAGAACAUGUGGUGUUUGGUUUUCUGUUCCUGUGUUAUUUGGCUGAGAAUGCUGGUUUCCAGCUUCAUCCAUGUCCCUGCAAAGGACAUGAACUCAUUCUUUUUUACGGCUGUGAUACAUGAGUCUUUAAACAAUGCUUAUGUGGGGUUAGGUUCUAACGUCAGCUCAAAAGGUGGAAAUCAAGGACAGUCAAAUUGACCUUGAAAAUGCCCUGGGAAGACCCCAGGCAGCACCCAACGAUCAGUGGCUGAGGCUGCUGGCUGCCCCCAGCAUUUGUUUUCCCGCUUCCUGUAGAAGGAGGGGCUGUAUGUUUUGGGGAGCAUAUGGCUGCCCAAGAGAAAGACCAUUUCCCAGCAUCUCUUGCAGCUAGGCUCAACCAGGUGACCAUAUUCUGGUCAAAGUGACAUGAGAAUGCACAGGCUGUGUCCUUGAAGGGCAGGGCAAGCCCUCUUUUUCCUCCCCACUCCCAGUGACUGGGUGAUGGCAGCACAGCGGGGUGCUGUCUGGGCCAUGGAGGCGUGUCAGAGUGACAGUUCAGAGGGGCUGGGCCCCUGCUGCUGUCAGACCAGGCCUGUUCACCUUCCAACUGUCAUGUGACAGAAAUCCACCUCCAUCUCAUUUAAGCCCACUAAUGUCUGGGUCUGUCACAGGAACCAACACAUUCCCUGACCUAUAUACACUGUUGCUCUGGGAGGCGAACACAGCAGGCUGUCCCCCAGCACUGGGGCAGCUGCUGUUCUUUGGUUGAGCAUUGGGUGAAGUUGUUGACUUGUGUUCAGGGUUCACAAAAUACCUCGCAGCUCACAAAGACUGCAGUGAGAUGCUUACACUAUGAGGGUUGGGCAAUUGAGCCUAGGAAUAUAAAAUCCUGGGAGGUGGAGGGGUUAAGGGUGCCGGACUCCUCAGCCCCACAUCUCAGCAUCUCUGGGGAAUGCAGUCUGAGAAUCGUUCAUGGGACGCAGUGUUUCCUGCUAUCCCUUGCACGGACUGCCACAUAUCCAGCUUCCUGUCCUCUUCCACAAAGCCAGAGGGGAAGGAGAGGAGGGUCUUUGACUGUGGAGCCACAGCCUGGGAAAAGGGACUGCCUUCUUUCUGGAACAUCGGCCACGGGCUGCUCCCCUCCUUUCCUGGAGCCUCAGUUUCCUCAUCUGUGCCAUGGCAGUGACAGCCCCUGCCUAGUGACUCAGCUCCCACCUGCGAAAGUGCUUUGUAAACUGCAGGUGUACAAGGUGGCAGCGAUGUUAUCGCCUGGAAUCUUUUUGGGGACCAGGAGAAGGGAGGGCUCCUGACAGUUUCCAGGAAAGGCAGGAGCAGCUGCUAUCCAGAAAUCUGCACAACAAAAUGUCUGCUAUUGGCCUAAGCCCAAGGAUGGGACAUGGUGGCCCCAGUGGACCGCUUCCAUGAAAUCUGCAAUUAUGGGGAAGUGGGGCUUAUUAAGGAAGCUGGAGGGGAAUGCGGCCCUGGCUUCUAGCAAUGCUAUAAUUAGAUUGCAGGGCCCCUUUUACUUUGCUGACGAUCCAGAAGGCCUUGGCCCGGGGCUUGUGCUGAAAUACCCUGGCCUCCUGGGCAGCGGGUGAUGGCCCAAGCCUGUCGGGGUGCAGAAGGACACUGCCUUUAUGUUGGGGGGAUGGGGUAACAACAGCUGAGGCUUGUGUAGUGCUCAUGUGGGGCCGGCGCCAUUCUCAGCCUUCACUUCAUCCUGGCAUCUGCAGGAGUCUGUCCUGUUCUCGGUUCACAGGUGAGAACACAGGCACAGAGAGGUCAAGGAGGUUGCUCAAGGUCACAUUGUGGCUAAGUGGCAAAGUAGUAAAGAAGGGGUAUGAAUGAUUGAAAUCAGGGGUCGCCAAACCACAGCUCGUUUUUCUUUUUCCUGCUACUGUUGCCUGGUCUUGUCAAUAAAGUUUUACUCAGCACAUGUGCCGAGGCAGCAUAGCAGAGGUGAAAGAGCCGGAACGGGGAAUUCUGCCACAGUGUGACCUUGUAGAAGACACUCUGGGCUUUCUAAUCUGUAAAAUGAUGGGGGUUUGCUUUAGAUCGGGGUCACUGCACUUGAUGCAAAGGGCCAGAUGGUAAAUAUUUUAGGCUUUGCAGGUCAUAAGGUCUCUGUUGCUACUCAACUCUGUUACAUGCAGCAACUAUUGACAAUAUGUAAACUAAUGGGCAUGGCUGUAUUCCAAUAAAACUUUAUUCACAAAACCAGGCAACAGCAGCACAAAAAAAAAAAAAAAAAAAGAGGGCCAUGGUUUGCCAACCCCUGAUUUUGAUCAUUCACGUCGCUUCUUUACUACUUUGCCUCACGAAAUUCAUGUUUUUAAUACUUUUCUUUAUACGAAUUCACCGGUAUUCCUUAGAGCUUAGCAACACCAUAGGUUUGAUGACCUAAACAAAUACAGGUUUGUAUUUGUGGCAUACAUGUGAAAAUAAACUUGUGAGUUAAAAAUUAAAAAGAAAAGUGUGUGGGCCACCUAAACCAUCUCCUGAAGCACAGAGGUCCGUGCUCUGUGCUUUGGGAGACAUUUUUUAGUUCAAUAUAUUUUUUUUCGAGAUGGAGUCUCACUCUGUUGUCCAGGCUGGAGAGCAGUGGCACGAUCUCGGCUCACUGCAACCUCUACCUCCCGGGUUCAAGUGAUUCUCCUGCCUCAGCCUCCCGAGUAGCUGGGACUACAGGCACGUGCCACCAUGCCCGGCUAAUUUUUUAUAUUUUUAGUAGAGAUGGGGUUUCACCAUGUUAGCCAGGAUGGUCUCCAUCUCCUGACUUUGCGAUGACCCACCUUGGCCUCCCAAAGUGCUGGGAUUACAGGCGUAAGCCACCGCGCCAGGCCUAGGUCAGUGUUUUUCAAAUCACUGAGGUGUUGAGGGGGAAGAGGAGUCUGGGUGGGGGAGGUCAGGCCUGUACCCUGACUUGGAACAAAGCAGUUUUGCUUAAUCUGUUUAAGACAUUUGUUUGGGAAACGGGUUCUGGGGCCAAAGGAGUUUGGAACCAUCUAGAAGUGGCUUCAAAAUGAACUUGAGGCCUGUGCAGUGGCUCAUGCCUGUAAUCCCAGCACUUUGGGAGGACGAGGCAGGAGGAUUAUCUGAGGUCAGGAGUUCAUGACCAGUCUGGCCAACAUGGCAAAACCUCACCUCUACUAAAGAUACAAAACUUAGCCAGGCAUAGUGGUGCAUGCCUGUAAUCUCAGCUACUUGGGAGGAUGAAGUGGGAGGACUGCUUGAACCCAGAGAGGCAGGGGCUGCAGUGAGCCAAGAUCGCGCCACUGCACUCCAGGCUGGGCGACAGAGUGAGACUCCAUCUCAAAAAAAAAAAAAAUAAAAUAAAAAAAUUAACUUGAAGCAUUGAAGCUAUGAGAUUUCCCAGGUCUGUCUACACGGGGCUGUUAGUUCCCAUGCUGACUCUUAGAUUUCUUUUUUUUUCCCUUUUUUUUUGGGAGACAGCAUCUCACUCCAUUGCCCAGGCUGGAGUGCGAUGGUGUGAUCAUGGCUCACUGCAGCCUCGACCUCCUGGGCUCAAGUGAUCCUCCCACCUCAGCCUCCUGAGUAGCUGGGACCACAGGCCCA